Non-coding RNA from Caenorhabditis remanei, 77 nucleotides. NCBI's taxonomy places the organism in Eukaryota, Metazoa, Nematoda, Chromadorea, Rhabditida, Rhabditidae. The record is from Rfam.
GAUCGAUGAUGAGACUUUCACGACGGUCUUCCGAUGAAAUAUCAAAGCUGUGGAUAUCUUUACGUGAAGCUGAGAUC